This 254-nucleotide ribosomal RNA is filed under the name uncultured bacterium. RNAcentral's name for it is "partial 16S ribosomal RNA". It matches the Rfam family "Bacterial small subunit ribosomal RNA", at positions 524 to 776 of the family's 1533-position model. The record is from RNAcentral.
UACGUAGGGUGCAAGCGUUAAUCGGAAUUACUGGGCGUAAAGCGUGCGCAGGCGGUUUUGUAAGUCAGAUGUGAAAUCCCCGGGCUUAACCUGGGAACUGCAUUGGUGACUGGCAGGCUUUGAGUGUGGCAGAGGGAGGUAGAAUUCCACGUGUAGCAGUGAAAUGCGUAGAGAUGUGGAGGAACACCGAUGGCGAAGGCAGCCUCCUGGGCCAACACUGACGCUCAUGCACGAAAGCGUGGGGAGCAAACAGG